RNAcentral lists this ribosomal RNA (253 nucleotides) under uncultured bacterium. RNAcentral describes it as "partial 16S ribosomal RNA". It matches the Rfam family "Bacterial small subunit ribosomal RNA", at positions 524 to 776 of the family's 1533-position model. The record is from RNAcentral.
GACGGAGGGUGCAAGCGUUAUCCGGAAUGAUUGGGCGUAAAGCGUCUGUAGGUGGCUUCUUAAGUCCGCUGUCAAAUCCCAGGGCUUAACCCUGGCCAGGCGGUGGAGACUACUAAGCUUGAGUACGGUAGGGGCAGAGGGAAUUUCCGGUGGAGCGGUGAAAUGCGUAGAGAUCGGAAAGAACACCAAGGGCGAAGGCACUCUGCUGGGCCGACACUGACACUGAGAGACGACAGCUAGGGGAGCUAAUGGG